UUGUUUGUUUGAAUACCUUAAGUUUUACCAUUUCAACCCAAUUCCAUCAAAGCUAACGCCUACCAACCUGGAAAAGUGAAGCAAGCGUCGCAAGCUAGAUCAGUUUUCCACCUGCGAUACAAAUGGAAAACCACAUGAAAGUCCAUGAAAGUGGAUAAACACACACCUACAGAUAGAUAUUAAGACUGAAAGUGCCAAAAAUUCUGAUAUAUACUCUAUAUAAGAGUAAAAGAAUACAUCAGAGAGUUUGUAUUCAUUUUUUAUUUAACAUUUAUAAAGUAAUAUUGUUCAAAGCAAGAUCAAAAAUAUUAAUUAAAGCAUCCAAACACACGUUAUUAAUGUGAGUAUUGUUAUUACAAAAAAAAAAAAACAAACCAAUAACCCUCAAAAGUUCAUCUCAAAGUACUCUUUGAGAUAACGCUCAGAUCUGACUGCUCAGAUAGCGCUGAUUAAUUUGAAUGAUUUUCUAACACGUUCUAAUAUGUUUUCAUUUCUACCGUAAUAAACGAUAAAUCGAUUUUAAAAAACGUGUAACUGUUGAAAACGUGAAGAUUUCUAUAAAGAGACAUUUACUUAACGUUUAUGGAAUGAGUCUCCAGCGUCGGCGCUUUAUAACUGUAGAGCCGUAACUUGAAAUUUCUCCCCAUACAAGAAAUGUUUUAUUCCUUAUUUAAGUCUCUGUAAACAAAUACACAGUUGAAUAUUGAAGAGAUUAGAUUUAUAAUCAAGAGAUUAGAGUUAAUAUGAUGAGCUGGUAUCAGUGCAGUCAUGAUCCCAUGUAACAGUGUAGAAAGUAGUGAAAGUUCGGCCUCAGAGAACGAUGUACGUGUUUCUACGGUUACUGAGAAUCCUCUCACUGCCGGAGAGCCAUUGUCGGACCCUUAAUCAAAGACCUCAUGCUCUGUAUUUAGAGUUUUGGAUUGGACACGCGCGUGUCCUGCCAAGUGAAUAAAAAUGGAUGUGGAUCCACGUGAUGACACUAAUCGCACGAAUAGACUCGCUAGUUUAGCUUACUGGAUUUCACAUUUAAUUAUCCGAGACUAUAAACACGGCCUCUUCGUUACUCUUCUACUCAUCGCAACGACUAACCAAAUGACAAAAAAUGUCAGUCUAAGCAAACUUUUUUCUCAUGGCACUGUAUGAAUGUACGUUUUGGCCACGUAUCAAAGGCGUUGCAGGUUUAUACGGUUACCGCGCAUGACGAAUACAUCGUAGCGUAUUAAGUAUUAGUGUUAAAGGCUGCGCUUCUUUACAUUGGAACGGAAUGAAUUGAAAGGCUUUGGCGUUUCAUCCGCUGAAUGUAAAGCCACGCUGCUACUCUUCUGGGGUGGGGUCAGGAUUCAUUAGGCCUUCGGCAUUCCCAUCUUGGAAGAGAGGACGAGUACGGUGCCUCAGAAUCACCAGAAAAAGUCUGAUCGUGAAGAAAACGCAGGCCAGCGCCAGGAGAACAGCUGCGGAUUAAACAGAUGAGAUAAGAAGGUAAAGGAAGAAGCACGCGUGGAACAUCUCAAACUGACGCUGAGAAACAGCCGACAUGUUCCGGACGCGUUCCUACAUCUUCUCGGAUCAAACUAGCUAAAGCCUAUAAGCCUUUCGCAGACUGAAACAGGGGGUGGAGCUUAUUUCAGGGUCAGAAAAAUGUAAACAGAGGCCUGAAACACUAAAGAAAACACGGCUUCCUGUUAGUCACAGUGAAAGGGAAACGACCUCCGUGCCUGUCAAUCCCAAUGAGGCGUGGCUUGUGUGCCUGUCAGUCUUAUUGAAGGGGGUGUGGCUUCUGCUACUGUGAGUUCAGCAAGGAAGGCUCGUCAGAGAGUGAAGUAGGUGUGGCUUGUGUAUCUAUCAGUUCCAGUGAAGGAGGCGUGGCCUCUGUGAAUGUCAGCCCCGAAGAAAAAGGUGUGGCUAGUGUAUCCAUCAGUCUUAGUGAACAAGGCGUGGCCUCUGUAUGUCAGUUCUAGUGAAGGAGGUGUGGUUUCUGUGAAAGACAUUCACAGCGACGAAGGCGUGGCUUAUGUGCCUGCCAGUACCAAUGAAGGUAAUGUGACCUCUCUGAAAGUCAGUUACAAUGCAGGAGGUGUGGCUUCUCUGCCUGUUAGUUUCAGUGAAGAAAGCAUGCUCAGUCCUAAAAAAAAAAAAAAAGAAGGUGUGGCCUCUACGUCUGCAAGUAGGGAGGCGUGGCCUUGCUGCUCGUCAGAUCUAGUGAAGUAGGCGUGGCUUGUGUGUCAGACAGCUCUGUGUGGAAACACUUCUUAUCGCUGGCACACAUACUGUCACGGACUCACCUGAAAACACGGCGUUUCUGCCUGGAGCUGCUGCAUCGUAGUGUUUGCUCAGGCUUCCACUCAGCGCGAAGAUGACGACGGGGUAGACGGUCAGAAUGUAGCGCACGUGCUUCUCGAUCACAAAGUUCUCAACAGCAAACCUGCACAUGCGAAAACGACAUUUGACACAGUACAAAAAAAUAUUUAUACAUCUAAAUCGUCAAAGGAACAUUAGCCUCUGUAUGAGGACGGACCAUACAACCACUUCUAAAAGCAGAAUGCACAGAGAAACAGUGGCCGCAUUCGUCGGGGACAUGGAUGUCAUAUCCAACACCACGGUCAAGUUGAGGAGCGUAGCUACGGUCGUCCAUGUUGCGGGGCGUGGCUUCUCAGAAUACAGAUGGGGUAAGAAGGAGCCUGCUGCGUUACCAACCUCUUCCCGAUCCAGCCAAGGCGUUGAUGGCCAAAGCAACGAUGUAAACCACCAGAGAGACAAGAAGAACUAAAAUCCGCCCGAUGUUAUGCUCCUCCAUGAUUGCGCUUGAUUUAAACAAAAAAAAAAAGAUACGAUAAAAAUAAAUUAAUAAAUACAAUUUUUUUUCCAAAACCGACGAUAAAAAAAGCGUCUUUUUUUCAGUUUGUACACCAAACCUGACUGAUUUUCCUCCGAAUUUCGAUUAAAAUGUAAUUAGUUUGCUGUUAACACGCUGUAUAUCUGCACACAACAGCACUGGAUAUUAAUUCUCCCUGUUAUUUAGUGUAAACUGAGUUACGUUAACAUUAAUAUCCACUAACGCGUCACUGUUUACUUUCAGGUUUCGUAACUUCUCUUCUUCUUCCGC
Ictalurus punctatus (channel catfish) is the source of this 3103-nucleotide long non-coding RNA. The record is from Ensembl. Lineage: Eukaryota; Metazoa; Chordata; Actinopteri; Siluriformes; Ictaluridae.